Molecule: ribosomal RNA, 484 nt
Filed under: uncultured bacterium
Lineage: Bacteria
Description: partial 16S ribosomal RNA
Rfam family: Bacterial small subunit ribosomal RNA
Source: RNAcentral
AUUGAACGCUAGCGGGAUGCUUUACACAUGCAAGUCGAACGGCAGCGCGGACUUCGGUCUGGCGGCGAGUGGCGAACGGGUGAGUAAUGUAUCGGAACGUGCCCAGUAGCGGGGGAUAACUACGCGAAAGCGUAGCUAAUACCGCAUACGCCCUACGGGGGAAAGCAGGGGAACGUAAGACCUUGCACUAUUGGAGCGGCCGAUAUCGGAUUAGCUAGUUGGUGAGGUAACGGCUCACCAAGGCGACGAUCCGUAGCUGGUUUGAGAGGACGACCAGCCACACUGGGACUGAGACACGGCCCAGACUCCUACGGGAGGCAGCAGUGGGGAAUUUUGGACAAUGGGGGCAACCCUGAUCCAGCCAUCCCGCGUGUGCGAUGAAGGCCUUCGGGUUGUAAAGCACUUUUGGCAGGAAAGAAACGUCGCGGGCUAAUACCCCGUGGAACUGACGGUACCUGCAGAAUAAGCACCGGCUAACUACGUG